AGCAGUUGACGAGUCCCAAAUAGGACGAAACGCGCGUCCUGGAU
RNAcentral lists this non-coding RNA (44 nucleotides) under Schistosoma mansoni. Lineage: Eukaryota; Metazoa; Platyhelminthes; Trematoda; Strigeidida; Schistosomatidae. The record is from RNAcentral.